Molecule: ribosomal RNA, 870 nt
Filed under: uncultured Lactobacillus sp.
Lineage: Bacteria; Bacillati; Bacillota; Bacilli; Lactobacillales; Lactobacillaceae
Description: bacterial SSU rRNA
Rfam family: Bacterial small subunit ribosomal RNA
Source: RNAcentral
GACGAACGCUGGCGGCGUGCCUAAUACAUGCAAGUAGAACGCUGAAGGAGGAGCUUGCUUCUCCGGAUGAGUUGCGAACGGGUGAGUAACGCGUAGGUACCUGCCUGGUAGCGGGGGAUAACUAUUGGAAACGAUAGCUAAUACCGCAUAACAGUAGAUAUUGCAUGAUAUCUGCUUAAAAGGUGCAAUUGCAUCACUACCAGAUGGACCUGCGUUGUAUUAGCUAGUUGGUGGGGUAAAGGCCUACCAAGGCGACGAUCAGUAGCGGGUCUGAGAGGAUGAUCCGCCACACUGGGACUGAGACACGGCCCAGACUCCUACGGGAGGCAGCAGUGGGGAAUUUUGGACAAUGGGCGCAAGCCUGAUCCAGCCAUGCCGCGUGUCUGAAGAAGGCCUUCGGGUUGUAAAGGACUUUUGUCAGGGAAGAAAAGGCUGUUGCUAAUAUCGACAGUUGAUGACGGUACCUGAAGAAUAAGCACCGGCUAACUACGUGCCAGCAGCCGCGGUAAUACGUAGGGUGCGAGCGUUAAUCGGAAUUACUGGGCGUAACGCGAGCGCAGACGGUUACUUAAGCAGGAUGUGAAAUCCCCGGGCUCAACCUGGGAACUGCGUUCUGAACUGGGUGACUAGAGUGUGUCAGAGGGAGGUAGAUUCCACGUGUAGCAGUGAAAUGCGUAGAGAUGUGGAGAAUACCGAUGCGAAGGCAGCCUUCUUGGAUAACACUGACGUUCAUGCUCGAAGCGUGGUAGCAAACAGAUAGAUACCCUUGUAGUCCAAGGGCGAUUCCACGUGGAUAUCAUGCUUAUCGAUGCCGGCGACCUCGAGGGGUGCCCUGUAUCAUAGUAUUAGUUACAUAAAGAGUAUAAUACG